RNAcentral lists this non-coding RNA (64 nucleotides) under Plasmodium falciparum 3D7. Lineage: Eukaryota; Apicomplexa; Aconoidasida; Haemosporida; Plasmodiidae. The record is from RNAcentral.
GCUUUUCUUUCUCAUGUGCAUCAUCAUCAUCGGUGUGUGUGUAGUCGUCAAGGUUGGAGGGUGG